This is a long non-coding RNA of Onychomys torridus (southern grasshopper mouse), 4713 nucleotides long. RefSeq lists it as uncharacterized. Lineage: Eukaryota; Metazoa; Chordata; Mammalia; Rodentia; Cricetidae. The record is from RefSeq and is a predicted model, not a curated record. The transcript has 3 exons.
AUCCUGCACCCCUCCGGCAGACGCUCGGGUCCUCCAACCUCUGCCCUCCCAGCAACUAGCCACCAACCGGGUUCCUGACUUCCCAGGAGCCGAGGACUCGCAUCUUCUGGGUUUUUUUCUCUGCUAGGACCCCAGCCUUCCACUCUCUCCAGCGGAGCCCCAGCUCCUUCGCUACGGACUACAGCCCGCCUGAGUCCUGCGGACUCCCCCAGACCUCUGCCUCCUUGUGCAAGGGGCUGAUAGGAUCGGCUGGAUAGCACGAGUCUAGGACUGUGGACCCCUCUAGGGCACUCGGGCUUUGGGUACUAGGACACUUUUAAGACUGUGCUGGACCGAAGGUCGCGGUCCGGCCAGUGGCCCAGGGAGAGGGAAGGGCUCCGGGCGUGGCCUUAGCAGACCACCAGGCCGAACUGCUUGGGGCGAAGCCGUUGAGCUGGGGACUGGCGCCAGCCUUGGCUGGAGGGAGACUCCCGGGGCAUUAGCCAUAUGUAUAUUUUUUCCUCCUAGGGGUCCCCGAGACGGCCUUCGGGGAGAGGGGAGCAAUGUUUUGAGCACUUUGUGCCUAAAGUCACCUGGAGUUUUUCUGGCAACACCUCCUUUCUGGGGAGGCCGUGAGCUCGGAGGCGGGUAUACAAACCUAGCUCCUUCCCUGGGUAUAGACCUGAGACCUAAGCUCAGAAAGAGGCUUGCUAGUCAGACUUUUAGGGGAAUCUAGACAGGUGCGAGGGGUUGGCCGAGCUCGAUGCCCUCCCUCGAGCCCCUCUAGUGUUCUUUGCAGGGCACUAGACCCCCAGGGGAUAAUCCCAGAGGGGUUCCAGGUGGGUCCCGAGCCGGGGGAGGGCUGGGGUCCCCGCCGCCCCCAAGGAUGGGGGAGGGGCAGCAGGAUUGACAGUCCGUAAUUGGGUAACUGGAGGCGGCUUCUCCGGCCCGGCGGCCCCGCCACCGCGACGCCGGGCCCCUGACGUCACCCGAUUCGCCAGGAAAUGAACUUUUUAAUAAUCCAAGGAGGGAGGAAAGCCCUCGGUCCCCUCGGCUCGGGGGGCGCCCAGCCCGGCUCAGCUCUGCGGGCGCGCCCCCAUCACCCCCUCCCAGGUCCUCUGCGGACAGCUCUGAGGGGGCGCGCGCACUGCAGGGCCUCCUCCGGCCUCUGCGGCUGGCGUCGAUCUGCCUGUCCGAGGCUUUGGAACAGACCACGACUCUUCAUUAACGUGCAAAGCGAGAUCGCCGCGGAGUUUCCAGAGUGUUCGAUGUCCCUGGAACCUAGCAGGAGCAUCUAAAGGCCUCGCAGCACCGGCGAUAACCCUACUCUCGGCAACGGUGCCCCGGUGCCCCAUGCGGCCGCAUCCCAGGCCUCUGCUCUGCAGACUUCCAGGAGGAGAUCGCGGAGCGCAGAGGAAGCUGCUGCCCUUGGCCGUGUAGGCGCCUCGCCUGGCAGGGCGGCAGGGCGGGGGGGCCUCCCAGCACCAUCCCCGAAAUCAGAUUAUCGCAGCCCUUUCAGAGCGCGCACAACAAAUGCGCCCGCCAUCGAAUGCAGCAUUUACCACCGCAGAUCCGCGCGCCGAUGGGCAAGCAGAUAGCGUCCGCGGGGGGCUCGCUGGGCGGCGGGUGUGCGCCCCGGCUCUGCCCGGUGUGUUUGGAGGAACACGUGGGUAUGCCAGCGAGUGGACUCUGAGCAAGCAAGGAUGUGAGUGUGAGAGUAAGUGUGCCUAGACAAAGUGCACGUGUGAGCCCCUGAGCACACGCGUGGUGAGUGUUCGUGGCGAGUGCCAGGAAGUGGCCGCCGAGACGCUCGCCGGGAGUGGUGCUGCACGUGACCGCGUGGGGAAGCAUGCAGUGGAUGUGCUAGCCGUGUUUAUUGCGAGGGCCUACAGGUACUGUUUAGGGGUGCGGAACAGAGGGGUUUGCAGCCACUCAUGAAUGUUACGCGUAGCACGUGCAGGUCGCACUCCACAAGGUGUGUUUCCGAAGCUGCGCGGUGGGCGCAGUAGCCUGUGUUUGUGCCAGUGGCACAGGCUUUUGGAACCAGCACGGAUCUGUGGGACAGUGUGUAUCCAGGGCGACCAGGUGUGCAGAGAGACGCGCGAAGCAAAGGGCCAUUUUCGGGCCUUGCUUGAGCCUGUGUUGUGCAGACUCUGGGCUGGACAUGGGCUAUGAGGAAGAGACCUCUGUACGCCCGGUCCGGGGAGUGCUGGAGAGUGACACCGGGCCAGUAGCUGUUUGGGGGGGUUGAGAACGCCCAGGGGUCCUGGUCCUAGGGCCCCUCGGCCAAGGCCUUGCAGCUGGGGCGACAUAGCCCAGCCCACCGCCCCGAGGUCCCGGUCGUGAGUGACACGCGCCGCCACAAAGGCUGUAUUUUUCCAGGCCCGCGCCCCGCCCGCACGCGAUGGUCCCCAUGGCGACGCAGAUAGCGCGCGGCCAUUUUCCUAUCUCCCCGGAGUCUAUUAUACAGCGGGAUUAGCUCAUCUCCAGGCAGGUCAAACCCAAAGUCACACAACCUGCGGCGUGAGCUCCGCCUCCGGCCGCUCCUCCUCCGCAGCCGGAGUGGUGGUGGUGGGGGACACCCGCGGCGUGGCCCGUAUGCGGGAUCAGAGUGCCACCUGGCGGUCGCGCGUUCCGGGCGCGCUGCGUGAGAGGCUGCAAGUGCUCCAGGCUGUGGCUUUGUGUGGUCGCUUGGGCGACCCCUAGGGAAAAGCUGGCACACAGUAGGUACCCCCAAAACCAUUCACUGGAAGGAUGGGCAGGCUGAAAAGUCGACAGGAGCUGACUGCCAAAGGCCACCGCUUGUUGGCAACAAAAGCCCAUCCCACUGAAUGAAGGAUAAAAGCCGAUCUCCCUUGCAACCCUGGAAGCCUUGCUGACCCCAGGCCCGGUUUCCUUCCUCCAGGGACAGCUAGCUGCCUUUGGAUUCUCUGGACAGGAACCGUCUCUCCCUGUGUCUGCUGGUUCCUCCACCAGGAGAAGUCAGCCUGGGGUCAAAUGUCACCUAUCAGACAGCAGUUGCUCUCCUCUUCCCUACCCCUCCUCUGCUGGUUAGUCACAUAGGAUUUAGUGAAUUCUCUAAAAACGUUUGCGUGCUCAGGGCUCUGUGAUGUUCCGGACAAUGGCAAAGCAGUGGAAUUCUGACAACUGGUUGGGAUAAUCACAUUAGGACCUGGUUGAGGACCAGAGGGUUAAGCCUCAUGGGCCAGGAUGCACAGCUUUCUUUCCAUCAUUGAACCUAGGAUACCCACUAGCUGUGAGUUACAAGAGUUACUCAGUAACCACUCUGCCCCAGGGCCUGACCUUACCCACCUACCCAUCUGAAUGGGAGCUACAGGGUGCCCCACUCCUCUGCUCCUGCUGUGAAGGUGAACUUAUCCCAUCUUUCUCUCCUAGAGCAGGUCCUAAGUGAUGGUGGUGGUGUCUGAACCACAGGAGACCUCACUUUCAAUUUAGGUUCAUUAGGCAGAGCAGUCCUGGCCUUGGUCAUCCACUGCUGACUGUAAAGCUGGGACCGCAGGCUGCCAAAUGGAGCUCAGCAGACUCCAUCCUGGGAGCACUGGGGAGAGGUCUUGGCCAGGAGUACUUCAGGGUCUAGCAGCUCCCUCAGCACUGUCCUGGAAGAGGAGCUGAGUGGGGACCCCUCCACACCAUCCACACACCCUCCCCUCCCACACUAUUCACACACCCUCUCAGCUGGGCAGCCUUAGGCAAGUUGCUUUCCCACUCUGAGCCUCUGGUUCUGCCUCUACCGUUCUCCCUCCAGGAUCAUGGACUGUUGGCCUUGUGUGAGCUUGCCUUUAAAAAGCAUUUGGUGAGCCUGGCUUGUCAAGCUGGCAGACAAAGUUCCUGGCCUGUGCCAUGUUGAAAGUCCACCAGCACUCUGGAGUGGGGAAUUUCACCUAAAGAAUCUCACUUCUUGCUUUUUGUGAAACACUUGAAGAUUGGCCACUUUGUGCCUGAGUUCUUGCAUGGUGAGGGAAUGCUGGAGUUCUGCAGAACCCCCUCUGAGCACUUGGUACCAACCCAUGCCCAUCCCACUGAGCCUCUGAGUUCUGCCUUCCCCUCCAGCACCGGGGCCUUCCGGCGGCGUGUUUCUCCCUCUAGGCCAGCAAAGCACUUAGCAAUUAAUUAGUCGAUGCAUUGAUGCAAGCAACCUUCGAAGGAGGCACACGGCCACACUCUGAAGGUCUCUGGCUGUGCAUAUUGAACUUCACCCAACCUCCCAACAUGGUGAAGCGGCCAGACCUGACUCAUCACGCAGAUCAACAAAUCAUUGGGUUAGGGUAAGUAUUGGGAGGGGAUAUGUUUUCUAAUAUCCAGGCUUUCCUCUGAACAGCGGAAGCCGUGGAGUAAAGGAAGGGUGGAUGCAGCCACUGUGUGGUAAAGCAGUAGCCGCAGCAGGAGCCGUGACGAGGUCUGGGGGGAGGAGGUGCUUACAAGAACUCGGGAACACAAUAUGUAAAGAGGGUUGACUGGACCAACAAGAUGACGCUGGAUAACGGUUUGUCAGCAAGCCUGACUGAAUUCAACCCUAGGACCCGCACAGUUCAAGGAGAGAACCACCUUCUGCAAGUUGUCUUCUGGCCCUUACACCCUCCCUCAAUAAACAAGUGCAGUAAAGGUGUCAGCAAAGCAGGGGAAGCACAGUAGGAAAAUGUAGGGAGGGCAUAGAGAGAAGACUCACUGAAAAGCAAUGAGAUGUCUCUUAAAUAAAUCAAAACAUCCAAUUUC